CGACUGGCGGCGUGCUUAACACAUGCAAGUCGAACGAGAACGGAUUAUAGCUUGCUAUAAUUGUCAGCUAAGUGGCGCACCGGGUGAGUAAUAUAUAGGUAACGUGCCCCAAAGAAGAGGAUAACAGAUGGAAACGUCUGCUAAGACUCUAUAUGCCUUUAUGACAAAAGUCAGCAAGGGAAAUAUUUAUAGCUUUGGGAUCGGCCUGUACAGUAUCAGUUAGUUGGUGAGGUAAUGGCUCACCAAGACAAUGACGCUUAACUGGUUUGAGAGGAUGAUCAGUCACACUGGAACUGAGACACGGUCCAGACUCCUACGGGAGGCAGCAGGUGGGAAUAUUGCACAAUGGACGAAAGUCUGAUGCAGCAACGCCGCGUGGAGGAUGACACAUUUCGGUGCGUAAACUCCUUUAUAUAGGAAGAUAAUGACGGUACUAUAUGAAUAAGCACCGGCUAACUCCGUG
RNAcentral lists this ribosomal RNA (463 nucleotides) under uncultured bacterium. RNAcentral's name for it is "bacterial SSU rRNA". It matches the Rfam family "Bacterial small subunit ribosomal RNA", at positions 36 to 507 of the family's 1533-position model. The record is from RNAcentral.